RNAcentral lists this ribosomal RNA (419 nucleotides) under uncultured bacterium. RNAcentral describes it as "bacterial SSU rRNA". It matches the Rfam family "Bacterial small subunit ribosomal RNA", at positions 355 to 774 of the family's 1533-position model. The record is from RNAcentral.
UGAGGAAUAUUGCACAAUGGGCGCAAGCCUGAUGCAGCGACGCCGCGUGUGGGAUGAAGGGGCUACGCCUCGUAAACCACUGUAGCCCGGGACGAAAAACGCCUUAGAGGCGUUAGACGGUACCGGGAAAGUAAGGGUCGGCUAACUACGUGCCAGCAGCCGCGGUAAUACGUAGGGUGCAAGCGUUAAUCGGAAUUACUGGGCGUAAAGCGUGCGCAGGCGGUUUUGUAAGACAGAGGUGAAAUCCCCGGGCUCAACCUGGGAACUGCCUUUGUGACUGCAAAGCUGGAGUGCGGCAGAGGGGGAUGGAAUUCCGCGUGUAGCAGUGAAAUGCGUAGAUAUGCGGAGGAACACCGAUGGCGAAGGCAAUCCCCUGGGCCUGCACUGACGCUCAUGCACGAAAGCGUGGGGAGCAAACA